GUUUUCUCAAUAUAGAGAAACCUUCUGAAGAAGAACAUUACUUCUACUAUAUAUCUUCAUUUGUUUAUAAUUAUAUAUAGGUCUUCAAACUCAUUUAUAAUAUAUAUAUUUUUUUACAUUAAUUCGAUGCAAAAGCCCAAGCUAUUAAACAACACAAUUUCUACCAUAGGCUGAUACACUAUUGAUUCCCAUUGAAGGAUCUUGAAAAACAGGAGACGACAUAGUAGAUUUACAAUAAAAUUAGCUAACCAAUCCGCACACAUAUCUGCUCGCUCGCACCAAUCUCAACUGCGAAUUUCCCUACAAUAGAUAUAGAUGCAGCAUACUUGAGCAUGAUAUGAGACUUAUGAUAAUAGGAUCAUAUGUAUAUAUAUAUAUAGAGAGAGA
RNAcentral lists this unclassified non-coding RNA (387 nucleotides) under Hevea brasiliensis (rubber tree). The record is from RNAcentral. Lineage: Eukaryota; Viridiplantae; Streptophyta; Magnoliopsida; Malpighiales; Euphorbiaceae.